This 447-nucleotide long non-coding RNA is filed under the name Bos mutus (wild yak). RNAcentral describes it as "lncRNA (ENSBMUG00000011757.1)". Lineage: Eukaryota; Metazoa; Chordata; Mammalia; Artiodactyla; Bovidae. The record is from RNAcentral.
GAGCUCUCGUGCACCGGCGCGGCCCGACGGAGGCGCGUUCCUGCAGCCGGCGUGCGGGGCGGAGCGGAGCGGAACAGGAAAGGGGAGCUCCGUGUUCUGGCAGUCCAGUCAGGGAGCUGGUUCUUUGAAGAGGCAUCCAGACUGUCUCCUGAGAACCCUAAGAUCCCGGAAGCAUUGAACUGGAAGGGGUUGUGGAGAGAGCCUCAUUCCAUACCUUCUCCCACUUGACAGAUGGAGAACAGAGGCCAAGAGGAGGAUUGACUUGUACGAAAAGGAAGCAGAUGGAGUAGAAUAAGCAUGACAGAAGUUCACUCAGAGAUUUUCAGAGCCAUGUGCAGGGGCUCACUGGAGCUGGAGUCUUGAAUGAGUCACUUCAACUUUUGGAAUCUCAGUGGUUUCAUGAAUGAUUAAAUAAUGUGCUUUAUACUUGAAGCAAACUAGAAGUGU